GUUAGUUAUCACCUUGUCCGUAAGUCCGUGAAAAGCAACGCCAGGUACAUCCACAGUAACUCCGUCAAGCUUCUCUCCAAGUUCCUUGGAGGCCGUAGAGAGCAUGCGCGAUAGUCACAGAGGUGAUUCCAAUCCUAACAAUUACUACUGUCAGACAAGACAUGACACACUCGGCCCAGCACAGGACUGCAGAGCAAGAUGGUAGCUAACACACUCAAACACUGACAGAUGGAUCAGUACUAACCAGCAGGCACCAUUAAACUGAAACCUGGGGGUGUAGAGAGUGGAGUAGCCAGUGUAGUGAGCAGGACAACUCCAAUACCACUCAUAGAGGAAAGCACUGUCAGACAGCUUUUUAAUGACCACUUACAGCAGAGGGAUGGGCUGUGUCCAGCUCCAGCUCUCCCACCUGCAGUAGGAGUUUCAAGAAGAUGUAGCCGGUACUGGCGUGUUGCCCUGCCGACUCCAUCUCUAAAUUUGCUCUCAAAGUGCCACGUCUGGGCAGAGGGAUGGUGAUGACGGUGGGCUGGCUCUGCUGCCUGAAAUCUCGGCAGGUUCUGAGGCAAUGCUGAGUUAUACUCUGGAGCAGAUCCACUUAAUGGAGGCAGGUCGCUUGGACAUCUGUUUCUGGUGCUGCUGAGGGCUGCAUCUCUGGGUGCGACAGGUGUUCCUCAUUUUGAUGAUCAUCUGGAGGAGUAUAUAAGGGACGUAUUGCCAGCACUUCUUUGCCUGAGUGUUCUGCCUACAGCGGUUCCAUAUUCACUCUUUUGACUCUGACUCAUCUGACUCUUUGAGUCUGAUGGUUUAUCGCACCCUGCUUCAGAAAACCCGGAUCAAGUCCCAGCUGGCUGUCCGUUCUCCGGUACUCUUUCCUCUCCUGCACGCACCCAGUCCACCCUCCAACGAUCCGCUUACUUGGACCACGGAAGUUCCUGGUGGAAUCCCAGAAGAGGCCCCCCUGGAUCUCCAGACUCAUUUGCCAUCUCCCUGGCAGAUCUAGUCCUCCCUGCACAUCUCCUCCGGUUCCUGUCUGCGUGGCUAGCCCUGAUCAUUAUCUGUUCCAGAAUUCUAGCAAUAAACUUCCACAACUGUUUACUGUUCUCUGAGUGUUCUUCCGCAUGUGGGUUAAGUCGGCC
Molecule: long non-coding RNA, 1136 nt
Organism: Girardinichthys multiradiatus
Lineage: Eukaryota; Metazoa; Chordata; Actinopteri; Cyprinodontiformes; Goodeidae
Exons: 5
Source: RefSeq, a predicted model, not a curated record